GACGAACGCUGGCGGCGUGCUUAACACAUGCAAGUCGAACGAAGAGCGAUGGAAGCUUGCUUCUCUCAAUCUUAGUGGCGAACGGGUGAGUAACGCGUAAUCAACCUGCCCUUCAGAGGGGGACAACAGUUGGAAACGACUGCUAAUACCGCAUACGAUCUAAUCUCGGCAUCGAGGAUAGAUGAAAGGUGGCCUCUACAUGUAAGCUAUCACUGAAGGAGGGGAUUGCGUCUGAUUAGCUAGUUGGAGGGGUAACGGCCCACCAAGGCGAUGAUCAGUAGCCGGUCUGAGAGGAUGAACGGCCACAUUGGGACUGAGACACGGCCCAGACCCCUACGGGAGGCAGCAGUGGGGAAUCUUCCGCAAUGGACGAAAGUCUGACGGAGCAACGCCGCGUGAGUGAUGACGGCCUUCGGGUUGUAAAGCUCUGUUAAUCGGGACGAAAGGCCUUCUUGCGAAUAGUGAGAAGGAUUGACGGUACCGGAAUAGAAAGCCACGGCUAACUACGUG
RNAcentral lists this ribosomal RNA (510 nucleotides) under uncultured bacterium. RNAcentral describes it as "partial 16S ribosomal RNA". It matches the Rfam family "Bacterial small subunit ribosomal RNA", at positions 28 to 507 of the family's 1533-position model. The record is from RNAcentral.